UACUCAAGCCCUAGCCCCGUUCUUCUCUUUCAUCUACAGUCGCCCCUGCUUUCUUAUUCCCGAAUUACCAUCGGAAAAAAUAUCAAAAAUAUAUAUAUGUAUAUCAGUAUAUGUAUAUUUGAGGGUUUUAGUUACGGUUUUUAAAUUCUAAAAUUGAUGACGGCAACGCUACUUCUAUCACUGAUGAACCACUAGACGAUGAGGUUGAAGUAAAACUAGAAGUUUUGCAGGUGUUUAACCUCUUAAAUGGCCUAUGCGGUUACGGGUGGCGUUAUAUUUGGCACAAACAUUAGAGUACUGCAGCAGCAAAGGGCGAUCUUUCUACCACGAUUUUAAUGUCUAUAGAGUAUUAUCUGAUCAGGCUCUCUUGUUUUGGACUAAUGAGGAUAGCUGAGGCGGAAAAACUUAUGGUACAAACUUAGUUGUUUAAAUAGACACUGAGUGUGUAGAGUAAUAGCAGAGAGCAUAAUUAACAGCUUUGGAACAACACGCUUGCGUGGCCUGGAAAGCUGAUUCCCCCCAACCCAUACGAGGACGAGACCCGAUUAGCAUGAAUACAUAAAACUGUGGACUGGACUGGUACUUUCGGUUAUGUUCGGUGCCGAUCCAAUGUAGGGUCGGUUCAAAUCACUUGGAGGCGAAUGUCAUUAUAGUUCAAAGGGAUGCAUGUUACAGAAGUGGUGAUUCAAAUUUGUUGGCUCGAGAUUGUAGUUUGAGACUUUGAGUGGAAGGCAGACGUGCUAUGGACAUGGUUGAGGUAUAAAUGCAAUGUUGCGUUUUAAUUAUAAAAAGAGAUUUUGUUACUUUUGUAGUUUUAUUUAUGUAUUAUUUAUGAAAGGAUUGAAAUCCUCUCAAGUUUUUCCAAUAUGAUGGGGAAUGUUGAAAUGAAUGAGGAUCCUAAUCCCGUAUGAGAACAGAAAUGUAUCAAUAGUUUUUCACUGCGAUUGUAAUGACUAAUGACUUCUUUGACA
Erigeron canadensis is the source of this 971-nucleotide long non-coding RNA. RefSeq lists it as uncharacterized. The record is from RefSeq and is a predicted model, not a curated record. The transcript has 5 exons. Lineage: Eukaryota; Viridiplantae; Streptophyta; Magnoliopsida; Asterales; Asteraceae.